CAGCCCUAAACGAUGCGCGUUAGGUGUAUCGGUGACCACGAGUCACCGAGGUGCCGAAGGGAAACCGUGAAACGUGCCGCCUGGGAAGUACGGUCGCAAGGCUGAAACUUAAAGGAAUUGGCGGGGGAGGCACCACAACGGGUGGAGCCUGCGGUUUAAUUUGGACUCAACGCCGGGAAGCUCACCGGAUAAGACAGCGGAAUGAUUGCCGGGCUGAAGACCCUGCAUGACCAGCUGAGAGGAGGUGCAUGGCGUAGACGUCU
RNAcentral lists this ribosomal RNA (263 nucleotides) under uncultured archaeon. RNAcentral describes it as "partial 16S ribosomal RNA". It matches the Rfam family "Archaeal small subunit ribosomal RNA", at positions 748 to 1009 of the family's 1478-position model. The record is from RNAcentral.